This 397-nucleotide unclassified non-coding RNA is filed under the name uncultured Mortierella. Its description in RNAcentral is "sequence contains ITS1". The stretch from base 1 to 105 matches the Rfam family "5.8S ribosomal RNA", at positions 50 to 154 of the family's 154-position model. Lineage: Eukaryota; Fungi; Mortierellomycota; Mortierellomycetes; Mortierellales; Mortierellaceae. The record is from RNAcentral.
GAAAUGCGAUACGUAAUGUGAAUUGCAGAAUUCAGUGAAUCAUCGAAUCUUUGAACGCAUAUUGCGCUCUCUGGUAUUCCGGAGAGCAUGCUUGUUUGAGUAUCAGUAAACACCUCAACUUCCAUAUCUUUUUUGAAAUGGGAGUUGGACUUGAGUGAUCCCAACGCUUUUCCUCACCGAAAAGUGGCGGGUUACUUGAAAUGCAGGUGCAGCUGGACUUUUCUCUGAGCUAUAAGCAUAUCUAUUUAGUCUGCCUAAAAAACAGAUUAUUACCUUUGCUGCAGCUAACAUAAAGGAGAUUAGUUCUUGUGCUGACUGAUGCAGGAUUCACAAAGACGGCUUCGGCCGACUUUGUAAACUCGAUCUCAAAUCAAGUAAGACUACCCGCUGAACUUAA